RNAcentral lists this ribosomal RNA (405 nucleotides) under Globigerinoides ruber albus. RNAcentral's name for it is "partial small subunit ribosomal RNA". It matches the Rfam family "Eukaryotic small subunit ribosomal RNA", at positions 1405 to 1630 of the family's 1831-position model. The record is from RNAcentral. Lineage: Eukaryota; Foraminifera; Rotaliida; Globigerinidae.
GAUAAACUCGGGGGACUGCUGACUAUAACCAUUUCUCAAAACAGAGGAAGGUUGCGGCAAUAACAGGUCUGUGAUGCCCUCAGAUGUCCCGGGCUGCACACGUGCUACAAUGAGUGGCGCAAUGUGCUAAUGUUUAAGGGAUAAGAGUGUGGUCAGUAGAACGUCGGGAUUUCCCCUGACGUCUCCCCCGCACGAUUAUCAGCCUUCCCUUAACAGGGCGGGCAACCUUUUCAAAAUACUGGUUUGAUGUUAAAGUAUUGAGUCGUUUUUUUUGGAUGGUGGUUUGUUAACCAAUACCAUCCGGCAACUGCUCGCGAGUUUGUGGUUCUGGCGACUCAUGGUGGGGACCGACGUUUGUAAUUUUUUGUCGCGUGUUAACUAGGAAUGCCUUGUACUGUCGAUUCA